CGCCCUCAAGACAGGUCAGACAAGCCCACUCUGCAGCUUGUCACUUCGCUUGAGUCCUCCCAUAACAAAGAGACUAAGGCUAUUACUCUUGGAAGCUAUUUGCCUCUUAAUUGUGGGAUCAAAGCUGGUGGCAAGCAUCAGUUCAUCAGAUUUUUGCAGAAGCUCUCACAUGUGACCUUUCAGUUGCUCCUUGAGCCUCCUGACGAAUCCAGCUAUAUCACUAAUUAGUAUUCAACCAGGAACAUCUUCACGAUUUUCAAGGAAGGCAUCCAUCUUGAGUGAACAAGAAUUGUCCUGGAGACUUGAGCUAUGUGGCCCUGCUGUGUUUGAUUGCUUCCUGUGCAUGGUGAAAAAGAAGUUGGGGUGUCAGCUGCCUCAGUCUGCAAAGUUAAGUACCGGGAGUUUUUUUUUUUUUCUUAGCCCUCUCCUCGUUUUCUCCUCCGUAUCAGACAGCAAUGUUUUUUUGUUUUUUUUUAACCUUAACAUUGCGGGGUGGCCAGGCAGCUGAGUUACCCAAACAGCAAGCACCAGCACACUGUGCCCACUGUCCCUCCCAGCAAGUCUGCCCGAUAUUUCCUAAAAGUAUAAACUCAUCUAGUUCAUAGGAUAGCCUUAUGCUUCUCCCAGGCAUUCUUAAGGCUACCCACAGUGUUUGUCACUCCAUAAUUUAGAAGCCUUUUGCAGUAUGACUGGGAUAAACUGUAGUAGAGGUCUGAGAGUGGUCUUGUAUAUAGAUACCUUAUAACCCCCCCCCCCCUCUGUAUUGGUUCUGUAUGCUCUCUGCAUUUAUACAUGUUUCGCUCUAACUGUUGUACUCUGUAUUUAUAUAAUUUGGGACAUAUCAGACCGUGUGUAGAGGUUGUUGAACAUUGUGGAAUAAGGUGAUAUUCCUUUGCAAUGUGUUUGGAAACUUUUAAAACAAAAAAAUGUGUACAUGGGGCUUCUUGGACACAGGGGAGCAAUGAGCCUUUCAUCGGAGUAGAAGUAAAGUCUUCUCUUGUGCAUGUAUUCUAAUUAUUCAAACACUUUCUCAAGCUGUCAUCUAAAACCUGUCCUGAAAUCCAUGCAUCACAAUUAUUACCACUAUUAAAGUUAUUACUACUAUUAAAGGUACAUAAAACCCUUAUAAAAUAUUUCCUGAUUCAAAUAGAGCAUGCAACGUUCCAUAGGGAGAGAGAGAGGGGGAGAGAAAAAAAGGGAGAGAAAAAAAACAAGGGCAUUAAAGGGACAUAAAACAAAAGUUAUUCUUCCAUGACUCAGAUAAAGCAGACAAUUAACGUCUAUUGUCAAAUGUGCUUUAUUCUCUUGGCAUCCUUUGUUGAAGGAACAGCAAUGCACUACUGGGAUCUAGCUGAACUAAUAGGGUGAGCCAAUCAUAAGAGGCAUAUAAGUGCAGUUACCAAUCAGCAGCUAGCGCCCAAUUGUGCAUUGUUGCU
This is a long non-coding RNA of Bombina bombina (fire-bellied toad), 1436 nucleotides long. RefSeq lists it as uncharacterized. The transcript is spliced from 3 exons. The record is from RefSeq and is a predicted model, not a curated record. Lineage: Eukaryota; Metazoa; Chordata; Amphibia; Anura; Bombinatoridae.